GAUGAACGCUGGCGGCGUGCCUAAUACAUGCAAGUCGAGCGAACAGACGAGGAGCUUGCUCCUCUGACGUUAGCGGCGGACGGGUGAGUAACACGUGGAUAACCUACCUAUAAGACUGGGAUAACUUCGGGAAACCGGAGCUAAUACCGGAUAAUAUAUUGAACCGCAUGGUUCAAUAGUGAAAGACGGUUUUGCUGUCAUUUAUCGAUGGAUCCGCGCCGCAUUAGCUAGUUGGUAAGGUAACGGCUUACCAAGGCAACGAUGCGUAGCCGACGUGAAAGGUUGCUCGGCCACACUGGAACUGAGACGAGGUGCAGACUACUACGGGAUGCAGCAAUUGCGACUCUUCCGCCAGAAGCGGAAGCCUGACGGGGCAACGCCGCCUGAAUGAUGGAUGUCUUCGGAUCAUAAGACUCUUUUAUUAGGGAAGAACAAAUAUGUAAGUUACUAUGAACGUCUUGUCGGUACCUAAUCAGAAAGCCACGGCUAACUACGUG
RNAcentral lists this ribosomal RNA (497 nucleotides) under uncultured bacterium. RNAcentral's name for it is "partial 16S ribosomal RNA". It matches the Rfam family "Bacterial small subunit ribosomal RNA", at positions 28 to 507 of the family's 1533-position model. The record is from RNAcentral.